AUGAAUACAGAAAUUUGUACAGAAAUGGCUGGUUUGCCUCCAAACCAUCCAUUUUUCCUAAAUGAAUUCCUGGUCAGCAGUGCAGCAGUGUACAGCAGGUUGAAGGAGCCAUUAAGACGGAGCUCAGUGGUCUAUCAGUGUACGGUUAUGGACGUCGAGGUCCAAAGACCCGUUGCGUAUCGGCGGGUCCUCCAGGCCCAUGUCAGGGCCAUGGGUGGCCUGGUUCGCCAGGUGCGCCUUAACAGGGCUUGCCAGCGGCAGGUUGCCCUGUUAAGGCGUGAAGUGGAUGAUGUCACCCGCCAGUCCAAGGACUACCGCCGGCAGCUGGAGCAGGCCCUCCAGCAGACGCAGAGCAGCAGCCCGAUCCGGGCCAGCAGCACCAGCACACAGAGCAGGAGGACGAGGAGGAGCAUGAGGAUGCUCCGGGCAAUUAAAAAAAAU
This 441-nucleotide long non-coding RNA is filed under the name Dicentrarchus labrax (European seabass). Its description in RNAcentral is "lncRNA (ENSDLAG00005029217.1)". Lineage: Eukaryota; Metazoa; Chordata; Actinopteri; Moronidae. The record is from RNAcentral.